ACCAUCCAGACUCCUUACCCCUCAGAUCUAAAUAUGGGUCCGAGUGGCUCAAAAAGGCAGUAAAGUAAAACUGAAGUGGACUUGGGAGCCUUCAGUGGCACACAAGUUCAUCUCAAACAAAC
This 122-nucleotide small nucleolar RNA is filed under the name Echinops telfairi (small Madagascar hedgehog). RNAcentral describes it as "Small nucleolar RNA SNORA61 (ENSETEG00000025219.1)". Lineage: Eukaryota; Metazoa; Chordata; Mammalia; Afrosoricida; Tenrecidae. The record is from RNAcentral.